RNAcentral lists this long non-coding RNA (210 nucleotides) under Linum usitatissimum (flax). Its description in RNAcentral is "long non-coding RNA (LUSI_LNC004232)". The record is from RNAcentral. Lineage: Eukaryota; Viridiplantae; Streptophyta; Magnoliopsida; Malpighiales; Linaceae.
UGAGUUGUGAUGUUAACGAUGAUCCUAUUUAUAAAACAGUUGUUAUGUGUUGAUGAUGCCAUCCCUGCAUCCAUACAUGUUUUCAAAACUCAUACACAUCAUGCAUCAUGAUCAAAGCUUGUUUUGUUUUAAGUAAAUAAAAAAUAAAAAAAAAUAAAGAAACUGGUACCGCUUGUUUACUACGGAAAUCUUUUGACAUUGCUCACCAAU